GCGCGAUUAGCUCAGUGGUAGAGCGCUUCGUUGACAUCGAAGAGGCCGUAGGUCCGAUUCCUACAUCGCGCACAA
This 75-nucleotide transfer RNA is filed under the name Candidatus Lloydbacteria bacterium RIFCSPLOWO2_12_FULL_51_9. RNAcentral's name for it is "tRNA-Val". It matches the Rfam family "tRNA". From Rfam's summary of the family: Transfer RNA (tRNA) molecules are approximately 80 nucleotides in length. Their secondary structure includes four short double-helical elements and three loops (D, anti-codon, and T loops). Further hydrogen bonds mediate the characteristic L-shaped molecular structure. tRNAs have two regions of fundamental functional importance: the anti-codon, which is responsible for specific mRNA codon recognition, and the 3' end, to which the tRNAs corresponding amino acid is attached (by aminoacyl-tRNA synthetases). tRNAs cope with the degeneracy of the genetic code in two manners: having more than one tRNA (with a specific anti-codon) for a particular amino acid; and 'wobble' base-pairing, i.e. permitting non-standard base-pairing at the 3rd anti-codon position. Lineage: Bacteria; Candidatus Lloydiibacteriota. The record is from RNAcentral.